Molecule: long non-coding RNA, 521 nt
Filed under: Mastacembelus armatus (zig-zag eel)
Lineage: Eukaryota; Metazoa; Chordata; Actinopteri; Synbranchiformes; Mastacembelidae
Description: lncRNA (ENSMAMG00000025047.1)
Source: RNAcentral
GUUUCCAUGAGCAGAGGAAGUUCCAGCAGAGUCGUAGAGCAGCGGUCCUCAUCCAGCAAUACUACCGCUCUUACAGACACUCCCUCAGCAGCCUCCUAACUAAAAAACAGAACCAGGCUGCUCGCAAGAUCCUGAGGUUCCUGCUCCGAUGCCGCCACAGGGCCAGAGAGCAGAGAACGGCCAGGGGUCCUGAGAACCCAUCACCAGGCCCCACACACAGCCCCCUCAGCCUGUGAGCAAUCUAUACACCCUCCCAGCCCGUCUCUUUUUUCCUUCUCCUCUCUUCCAUCCUCCCCAAACUCUUAUCUUUCUACCCCUAACCCCCUUUCUCCUGCACUUUUCUUUCCUCCCCUCCUCCUUCUCUUUCCCCUCUUGUCCCCAGAGGAAAAAAAAAACUCUUCCCAGACAGACUGAGGACAGGAUAGGUGUCCAUCAUGGCAGCUCAGACAGACAGACUGCUGGGUAGAGCCCAGGGACCUGGCUCUGCCCACAGCACUGAUCCUCCUCCACAGUUUCACUGG